This 328-nucleotide ribosomal RNA is filed under the name uncultured bacterium. RNAcentral's name for it is "bacterial SSU rRNA". It matches the Rfam family "Bacterial small subunit ribosomal RNA", at positions 570 to 898 of the family's 1533-position model. The record is from RNAcentral.
CGUAGGUGGUAGUGCAAGUCUGAGGUGGAAUCCCAGGGCUUAACCCUGGAACUGCCUUGGAAACUGCACUACUUGAGUCAGUGAGGGGAGGGUAGAAUUCCUGGUGUAGCGGUGAAAUGCGUAGAUAUCAGGAGGAAGGCCGGUGGCGAAGGCGGCCCUCUGGCGCUGAACUGACACUGAGGCGCGAAAGCGUGGGUAGCAAACAGGAUUAGAUACCCUGGUAGUCCACGCCCUAAACGGUGGGUACUAGGUGUAGGGCUCGUAAGGGUUCUGUGCCGAAGCGAAAGCAUUAAGUACCCCGCCUGGGGAGUACGGCCGCAAGGUUGAA